AGAGUUUGACUCCUGGCUCAGGACGAACGCUGGCGGCGUGCCUAACACAUGCAAGUCGAGCGGGGAUUACGGAAGAGCUUGCUCAGAAGUAAUUCUAGCGGCGGACGGGUGAGUAACGCGUGAGCAACCUGCCUUCAACAGGGGGAUAACGCUUCGAAAGAAGUGCUAAUACCGCGUAAGACCACGAGGUCACAUGGCCAUGGGGUCAAAGGAGCAAUCCGGUUGAAGAUGGGCUCGCGUCCGAUUAGCUAGUUGGUGAGACAACAGCCCACCAAGGCGACGAUCGGUAGCCGACCUGAGAGGGUGAUCGGCCACAUUGGAACUGAGAAACGGUCCAGACUCCUACGGGAGGCAGCAGUGGGGAAUAUUGGGCAAUGGGCGAAAGCCUGACCCAGCAACGCCGCGUGAGGGAAGAAGGGUUUCGGCUCGUAAACCUCUGUCCUGAAGGGCGAACGCAAUGACGGUACUUCAGGAGGAAGCCCCGGCUAACUACGUGCC
RNAcentral lists this ribosomal RNA (498 nucleotides) under uncultured organism. RNAcentral's name for it is "SSU rRNA". It matches the Rfam family "Bacterial small subunit ribosomal RNA", at positions 8 to 509 of the family's 1533-position model. The record is from RNAcentral.